CCUACGGGUGGCAGCAGUGGGGAAUAUUGGGCAAUGGGCGCAAGCCUGACCCAGCAACGCCGCGUGAAGGAAGAAGGCCCCCGGGUUGUAAACUUCUUUUAUCAAGGACGAAACAAAUGACGGUACUUGAUGAAUAAGCCACGGCUAACUACGUGCCAGCAGCCGCGGUAGUACGUAGGUGGCAAGAGUUAUCCGGAUUUACUGGGUGAAAAGGGUGUGUAGGCGGGACUGCAAGUCAGAUGUGAAAGCCAUGGGCUCAACCCAUGGCCUGCAUUUGAAACUGUAGUUCUGGAGUGUUGGAGAGGCAGGAGGAAUGCGGGGUGUAGCGGUGAAAUGCGUAGAUAUA
This 346-nucleotide ribosomal RNA is filed under the name uncultured bacterium. Its description in RNAcentral is "partial 16S ribosomal RNA". It matches the Rfam family "Bacterial small subunit ribosomal RNA", at positions 338 to 698 of the family's 1533-position model. The record is from RNAcentral.